This is a long non-coding RNA of Mus musculus (house mouse), 649 nucleotides long. RefSeq annotates it as predicted gene, 39821. Lineage: Eukaryota; Metazoa; Chordata; Mammalia; Rodentia; Muridae. The record is from RefSeq and is a predicted model, not a curated record. The transcript is spliced from 4 exons.
CUUCUUCUUCCUCCUCCCUCUCCUCCCCUUCUCUUCCUCCUCCUCCUCCUCUCCUUCUCCCCCUCCUCCUUUCUUUAGACAGUCUAACUACACAGCCCAAGCUAUCCUGGAACUCACUAAAUAGUUUGGCAUAACUUUGAACAUAUGCUCCCUCAGCCUCUGGAAUGCUUUUCCAGAGAGCUAAGGAAGAGGGCAAUCUUGAAAGGCCUUGGGGAGCCAACCUCUGCUGAGCCUCCACAACGCCCCACACAGUUUGCUUAGACAAGGCCAAGGCCAGGACAAGUCCUCUUCAGGCUGCCUGGGGAGCCUCUGAUCCUUCAGUAUCUUUCUAGGGGUGUGACCCUGGUGCAUGCCUGGUGCUGUCAGAGGUCAGAAGAAGGUGUUGGAGUCCCUGCAAAUGGAGUGAUGGAUGGCUGUGAGCUGCCAUCUCGGGAUGACCUUAAACUCUUGAUCCUCCUGCCUCAACCUUCUUAUUGCCACUAUACCCAAGUGAUUCGGUGCCGAGGAUCUAACCCAGAGCUGUGUGUAUACUAGGUGUUUUGUCUGCAUGUAUGUCAGUGCUCCACAGGCAUGCUUGGUGCCUACGGAGGCCAGAAGAGGACAUCAGGUCCCCUGUGAGUUACAGAUAGCUGCGAGCUGCCACGUGGGU